RNAcentral lists this non-coding RNA (28 nucleotides) under Rattus norvegicus (Norway rat). The record is from RNAcentral. Lineage: Eukaryota; Metazoa; Chordata; Mammalia; Rodentia; Muridae.
AACAAACAAAAAAAAAACUACUUCUGAU